Helicoverpa armigera (cotton bollworm) is the source of this 689-nucleotide long non-coding RNA. RefSeq lists it as uncharacterized. The record is from RefSeq and is a predicted model, not a curated record. NCBI's taxonomy places the organism in Eukaryota, Metazoa, Arthropoda, Insecta, Lepidoptera, Noctuidae. The transcript is spliced from 2 exons.
UUUGAGAUAACCCUAACCCUCUUAUUAUAAAACGCGGUAUCAAAUAAGUAUCGGCUUUUGUACUACCUUUAAUCCACCUUUAAGUACGACCUUGAAAAAACGUUAUUACAAAACGCAGUUUAUCGCAAGUCCUAUUACUAUCUGUAGUACAAAAGAUAAACCAUCGAGCCCCCUAGUUUAACUGCAGUACUUAGUCGACAAACGUCAAAUUCCGACAUUAUUUACUUUUGAGGUUAUUUGUUUUGUGAUGAAAAAAACGAAAGUGGAUAUAAAUAUGUGUGAUUUGGAAUACUUGGAUGUGUUAGAAUACUAUUGAGAGUGUCCGGGGACCCAACACAAUGCGUCAUCGACAAAAUCUCUUCAAAUUACCUGACGACAAUUUUCGAUAUAAAUAUCGAUUUACGUUUUUCGAAAUAAUAGUCAAUUGAAUGCAUGAUGAUAAUCCAGGAUGAUGAUAUGAUGCUCAACUGGGCUCGCCAUAAAAUUCAAGACUAUUUUGGCGUUUUGCACGCCGUAUCUCUGCCAGUAAUAUGCAAUGUUUGUAAAAGACUGGAAGCUUGCUAAAAUGUACAAAAAUGCCUAGAUGAGAAAGGGAACAAGAUUGUGUGAUGAAGAACAGUGUCCAACAUGUAUCAGUGCAUUUGACUGUAUAAAUAGACAUCGGAAUAAAAUAUAAUUUUCUACUUUUA